ACAAAAGCGAUGAAAGAAAAAGUAGUGCAGUUGAACCAUACAGAGAGAGUGACAGAUGCUGGAAGCCACUUAUGGGAAGAUUACAUGAAGACCAUUCUUGAGCUGUACGUGAAAUCAAUCAAGCGUUACCGUGUAGCUGCGUUAAAGCUAUAAGGAGUCGGUGAAUAUACGAACUCCGGAGUGAAAUAUAAGGUGGAACCGUGUAAAUUAUGCACCCUUAGG
This 222-nucleotide non-coding RNA is filed under the name Roseburia sp. RNAcentral's name for it is "T-box sequence". It matches the Rfam family "T-box leader". From Rfam's summary of the family: Uncharged tRNA acts as the effector for transcription antitermination of genes in the T-box leader family. T-boxes are found upstream of many aminoacyl-tRNA synthetase genes and some amino acid biosynthetic genes usually in Gram-positive bacteria. The record is from RNAcentral. Lineage: Bacteria; Bacillati; Bacillota; Clostridia; Lachnospirales; Lachnospiraceae.